UCUGUGUCCUUUGUUCCCUCCCUCUCAGCUCCCUGGACACAUCUACUGCCAUGAGAUGUCUCAGCCAAGGAUUUGGAGCCAAGAUACAAAGGAAAUUCUUUAACCAGAUGUGUGCCCAUGCCUGUGACACUGAAUUUUCAGAUGCUGGUAUUUAAAAAGAUUGCCAUCACCCCUGCCUCCCAGCAGCAAGGGAAGACUGAAGCCAUAGAGCAUGGGAUCCAACUCUUCUUCUAGCUACACGAGGGCAGUAAAAAUACCUACAGCUGCUCUGGAGCACUGGAACUUCCAGUUGUAUAUGUUUUCAGGGCACAAGCCACCUCAGGAAAGCUGCUUUUCAAAAGAGGCACAGUACCCAGCUGGUUGUUAGCCCAACCCUACACAGAAAAAAUAAAUUUAAAAAGAAUAAGUGCUCAGCCUCCUCCAUCAUUUGAUCUGCCCUUCGUGAUCACAAAGCCUGUUCUGAAGCAUCUCUGUGUGAGCUCCAAGUAAGUCCAUUGUAACUUCCCCUUCUACCCCUUCCAGCAUAAAAGACACUUCAUAGGUCUUUGCUCUACAGGACCACACUUCACAUGUGAAGGACUCAGAAAAGGCAAGGUAGGACUCCUGUAACAGCUGUAACUCAGAUGUUUUUGCACACAUAUUAUUUUUAGUUAAUAUAGAUGGUGUUAACAUUAAUGCCUUAACCCUUGAGGAAGCUAGCUAAUUUCCAGGUCGAUAUGACCAGGGAGCUGGCUAAUUUCCAGUGUUUUGGGGAGGGAGCCAAGAAGUGCAAUGCUAGGGUGUUUCUGGCUGCUGGUGUUCCUGAGUGGACCACAUCCGGGUCUGCACUUCAUCCUGGGUUUCCAGCACUGUCUGCCACCCCACCACCCUCUGUGUGCGCCACGGGCUAAAGUGUCUUUAACAGCAGGGCUGCCAUCACCAAGCUGUAGCUGCAUGUUCUGAUACUGUCACCCAAAAUGCCUAGAAGGGAACAAACUGGCAGCUUAUUAACUGAGCUGUACAAGGCUGGCAGCUUACAAACAACAGCCACCCUGGUCUAGGAGUUUAUGUGAGUAAGAUGUAGCAAAACAGUGACACCAUCACCCAUACAUGUUGUUACUGAACCAUGGGUCUAACCAGGAAAAGGCUGUGGCAAGCAGGCAGGAGAGGAAAAGGAGGGGGGGGAUUUCAAACACUGCAGCCCAGAGAAAGAAAACCUUGCGUUCGUGUUUACGUCAGUAGCCUGUCUGUGUGCUGACCCCAGGCUCACCUGAGCCUUGGCAAAGCUCCCCUUUGUUUUGUGUUGGCGUUGAGAAUCCAGAGUUAUCCACUACUUUGUGACCCAUUCCACCCAGACAGCCUGCCCAUGAUUGCUUCAUAAAGCAAGACCAGGAAUCAAAAACAGGGCAUGUUUCCUGAGCAGAGAUGGAAAACAGCUGUGCUGGAAAAAAGGAGGGGUUUUCUGGCUGAGCAGUGGAAAAUACAGAUCAAGGCCUGGUUGUGCAAUCUUCUCUGGCUGGCCUUUGGCUGCUAUUGUGGCAAGGGGACCAGCUGGACUUGGCAGGAGGCUGCUGCCUGGUGAUGGGGGUAGCAAGAGCCUCUGGUGACAAGGCUAGAAACCCAGAGCUUAGUUUUGCACGUUUUACAGAUGCUUGGGAGGCUGAAAACUGACAUCUGGUGAUGCUGCUCUCACCACUGUCCUGCAGUCAGAUCUGUCUGGCCAGUCCCAGAUGGUGUUUGAAUAGCCAGGCCUGUUACUGCAAAGGCACAGAGCUCUGUAGGGCUGCAGAACAGCAGCAUCUACCCAGGUGUGAAACUCAGUUCUGCCUAGUGCUCAUAAAGUGCUCCCUGCAGCCAGAGCCAGAGGAUGUGGUUAUGUUGUCUGGCCAGGUUCCUGUGUCUGAAUCCCCAGGGCCUGACUGGGGACUGUGAAGGGAGACUGACCAAAAGAUCUUAGAGCUAGAAUCUGCUGUGCCACUGCUGUCCUCUGAAAUCAAGGAAAGACUGCGUCUUGAUUUUACUAGUCUAAAAUGCUGCUUGCUUUAAGCAUGGCUUCUGGAAGAGUUCCUAAUUUUUAUCAAAUUCAAAUCUCUAAUGAAAAGGAACCAGCUGAGUCUGAUCCAGAGACAAGGGGUGCGGGAUCCUCUCUGGUUUUUUUAAAUCUAAUUAUUGUGUACAAGAAGGAGAGAAUGGGCAAGAACAGAGAGGGAAGAAUUAGGCCUUUGCUUCAGAGCCAAAUUAUCGAAAAAAUUAUCCUCUGUGCUGAGAGAGCCCUGCAACAACAUCUCUCCUCACUAAAAAGAAAGGGGCACAAUGAUGAGAAGGCAGAAGCAAAGGAAGUAGGCAGCACCAUGAAUCACCUUCUGGGCUGAUACAUGCCAGCUACAUUGGUCUCUGUUCUUAGCACCUGGAACAGCAGAAGACAGUAUGAUGGAUGUUCUUUACUCUGCAGUGUUGGAGCUGUGGCUGCACUGUAACUGCAGGGAGAUCGUGCUUUCUUACAACUGGCUCAGCUACUGAGCUGAAACAUAUGGAUCCAAACCUUGUUCUGCAGCAGCUUCCAACAGUGUUCAUCACUAAGACAGUACAACUGCAGGGCAAAAAAGCAAACCCAAAACUGAUCACUGCUACAGAGCCAUGAAGGGAAGAAAGGAAGGAAGAUGUGAUAUGGUGACCUGUAGCAGGAAGGAAACCGCAGAAUUUAAGCAAGAGCAGUGCCCAGAGGAGGUGCAGAGAGAAGCAAUUUUGUUCCAAAUAGCAAACUGGAGUAUUUAUGGUUCUGAGCUGGGAGCUGAGUGUGAUAAACACAUCCCAUGGAAGGGGUGAGAGACUUAAGGCUCGGCUAAAAGCAGCCAACCUCUCCUGUGGAAGAUCCAGUUUGAUUCUUCAGGUGCAGUUUAUGGGGGACUGCAGGAGCUGCCUCCCACAGCACAAGGAAAGAACAAGACAAAGAACAAUGCAUUUUGCUAUGGCAGUGCACCUGCUUUAACUAUUACUGGUUUAAGCCAGGUCACACUAAACUUGGUACACAGCAGGCUGUGACAAGUGCACACAAAAUCAAUUUGCUAAAACCUGGACAACUUUGCAAGACAUCCAGACAAAUAAAACUCAGACACACAAUAUUAAUAGUAAGUAACUGCUUCAGCAGUCCUAGGCCUUUUGAAAAUGUAGUAUUACUUGCAGAUGAAAUCUCUAGUGCUUCAGUUUAUUUUCAAUACAAAGCAGGAUGAAGGCAUAUUUUAGAAAUAAUUUGCAAAGUGAGAUGCUAGUCUUUUGGCCUUCACUGACCUGAAAUUAUUCUUUACUAAAAAAAUUUCCUUCAUUUUUAACUUCUUAAUGUAGUACCAGUCAUGAUGAUUCUUUUGAAACAAACAAACAUUCUCCAUCUUUAUCUACUCAGCAGAGUCCAAAUGGGACAACAGCGGCUAAAACAAAAUCUCAUUAAAAAAAAGUUGUUCCCAUGGAAAAGUUCCAAUUUUGAUGAAAUAUUUCCUGCCAAAAGCAAAAACCAAACCUAUUCAAAGGUUUGACCCAGUGUCUGCUCUUCAAGAGGGAGAAGGGUAGUGGAGAGGAAGCAAGCGAAUGUGGCUUUGGGAGAAAAGAAUUCCUACCAAUAAAUGGGGGUAAUGAAAGCAGAGGGAAGAAAGUACAAAUUCCCAGGCAUUCCAGACAUAUCUGGUAUCCUUUACAUCCUGCACUCUGCACUUCAGUUGUACAUAUUUCAGUGUUCCACUGUAGAGGCAGCUGCAUUUCAGUUGGGAGUUACUGUAUGAAGAAUUUUGUAUAGUUGUUACAAGAUCUUAUGAGAUGAAAAGGAGCUGACCAAGGCAAAGAAAGUAAAAUAGAACAUGCAAUCUUUUAACUAUGCUAGAAACCACUUAUGCCACAGAGAAAUGGGAGCCAGGAAGCAAAAACUUCCAGAAGAAAUUAGAAAUAAAAGGGAAAAACCAGAAAAAAUUACUGGUAGCUAGGAAAAGACUGCAGGCUCAUUACCACAUCUGAGAUGUUGAAAAACAGCCUCUGGUUUUCUGUAGCUCUUCAUCUGUUUUUCUGUUCAUUUUUGUCCUUCUCUUUAACCUUGCUGGGUAAAACACAUCUCCAAGGACAAAUAAAAAUUAUUUUCUUGCCAGUGCUGCUGACUUUGCAACCUGUCAGAAAACUGACUAAACUUGAGACUCCUUCAGUCAGUCACUUUAAAAUAUAGUCAGCAUUGUGUUAAAAGAAAAAAAUGAACUAUAUGAAUUCAACACCAGGGUUACUCUGCUGCAUAUUACAGCAUUCUACCGGGCUCUGGGAGAAACAGCACUGAGCUGUGAAUCAACUGAGCUGAUGAGUAGUGUUACAAAGUGCUACAAAAUAUUAGGCUUGCAGUGUAAUGAAGAUACUUUAUUUGUUUCAAUUAAACAGGUAUUUUACUAAAGAAUUCUUAGAUCAAAAAAACUGGCCUGGGAACCCAAAAAAAUACUAUUUAGAACCCAAGUUCAGGAAAUGUGAAUUAAUUUUGCUAGGGUCACAUUUAACCUUGCCAAGGAAAGAUUACUGAAUUGUAACAUUGGAGGGGUUGUAAUCUGCAGUAGGUGCUUCUGUCAUCAGUUGCAUUAAUCUUCCAUGAAAGCAUUUACCCCUUUUACCUGCACCAUAGGUGGGUGGAGAACUAUAGGAAACUUUUCUGCCUCAGCUUCCUUGCUGCUCCUCAUAGUUACACUUAGAGCCUAAAUAGUCUGGAGGGAUUUAUGGAUUGGCAGGUCCACCUACCAUCUAUUAUCUCUGGCAAAUGCUGCUUUCAGACUGUGGCUAGGACAAAACGGGAAUAACUUUUCAAAAUCAGCCUCAUCUUGCUCAGGGUCACAACAAAAAAAGUGAAAUCAUGAUUGGUCCAUUAUCCAUUGCCUGCACUGUUUCUGUGUGCCUGCCUGGCCCACACAAUUCAUCCUUUCUUAUAUUCUAACAAGUGUCAGAUUUUGGCUUAUGAGCCAAGUGUCAAGGUGCAUGAAAUGCAAGGUUGAGUGCCUUUUUUAGGCUGUGUAUGUGAGGGGGGUCUCUGUGAAGUAACUGGUUCAGAUCCGUGGGCAAGAAUAAAUGAAGAGAAAACAUGGAGAGAGUCAGCUAUAGGAACAAGGUGAACUCUAGAGCAAGAGAUGUAAUUUUUCAAUCAAGCUUUUAAUGAAAAGAUCAUAAAAUAACAGUUUCUCAUCACUGUACAUUAAGACUGCAAAUUUCUGAAUGCUGAGAUCAUAUUAUAAUUUCUGUAUCUUUUUAUAUGACACUUGAGUUGAAGCCACAACUAUUGUGGCUCUGACCUGAAUUCAAGCUCUUGAAGGAAAUGAACAGAACAUUGCAGCAGGAAUGUUGGCCUUUCCCUUGACCUUCCCUACUUUCCCCCUCCCCAGGAAACAUCCAGGGCUUCCAGGCUGACUGAUAGUUAAGGCUUAAAAUGAAAAAAAAAAAACCAAACAAACAAAAAACAAAAACCAAAAGGGGUGAUGAAACAUCCCUUUCUCAGUUGCAUCAAAAAUAUU
This is a non-coding RNA of Taeniopygia guttata (zebra finch), 5498 nucleotides long. The record is from RefSeq and is a predicted model, not a curated record. Lineage: Eukaryota; Metazoa; Chordata; Aves; Passeriformes; Estrildidae.